ACAUGCCAGUUCAAAACAUGUGUUACACAUACAUUACACAAUAACUUGAGAAAGAGGGAAGAGGAAAUACAUUUCUUUCCUUGUCAGAAACUCCCCAGAUAAGGAGUGGCUACCGGUUCAACAUAAAACCUCUGCUGUUGCUGGUUCCUGGGAUCCUGACUGAAAAGUCUUCCAUUGAGUUGGUGGUAGUCAACAGCAUCUCAAACACACCCAAUAAGACCUAUAGUACUGAUGUCGCAUUCAGAGGGGUCCUUAUCGGUGCCAUGAGAAGACUGCAGGAGACCACUGCAGGAUUCAAUUUCACCUACACAGAGGACCGCAACUAUGGUCCCUUCCUGGUGAGUGUGAAUGGUGUAGCCGGGAACAAAAAUGAGAACAAUUUCUGGUGAGAUUCUUGUUCAAACUGGGGGUAAUGGUAAACCAACUACCAUUGACCUGAUGUGGGUGAGUAAUGAUAAAAAGGCUCUCUCUGCAAAGCUACAGAAUUAAAAACAUUUGUUGUUUGUUUGCUGAGGGACAAGUGCAACACAUUGACACAUUGAACAUAUAAUCGUCCGAUUCAAAUAAAGGCAAAAACAUGCUAUUGACCUUAACUUACAUUCAUAAAAUAUAACAACUCCUCUGUCACACAAAUGUUGCACAUACUGUACAGUAUAACUACUCACACAGUGACCUAUUUGGACAUUAUUUCUGCAGGUAUUGGCUGUUACAUCCCAGAACCAAAUGACUGCAUCAUCCUGAGAUUUACUGUGUUCAUCCUGGGCUCGCAUUCUGUGAGUGGCAACGGUCAGAAUUCUGGGAAGCUGACAGAAGUUUACCUACACAGAGGACCUUUCCUGGAGAGUGUGAAUGGUGUUGCCUGGGACAAUGCUGAGCACACUUAUUCACUUAUUGGGAGCUCCCCUUGUUCAGACUGGGAAGAAUGGACCUGUGAUCAGACCUAAUGUGGGUAUUGGUUGUUACAUCCCAGAACCAAAUGACUGCAUCAUUCUGAAUUUUACAAAAUGGUGAACAUUCAGAAGCGCCUGACUGAUACUAUUUUGUUUUAAAAAGUGCUGUAAAGCAAUUUAUUAUUUUUGUCAUAAAAGGAAUAACGAUUCCAAUAAUUUGCAGUACACUAUUAGAAAAAAGGGUUCCAAAGGGUUCUCCAGCUAUUCCCAUAGGGGAACCCUUUUUGGUUCCAGGUAGAACUCUUUAGGGUUCCA
Long non-coding RNA from Oncorhynchus tshawytscha (Chinook salmon), 1205 nucleotides. RefSeq lists it as uncharacterized. The record is from RefSeq and is a predicted model, not a curated record. The transcript has 6 exons. NCBI's taxonomy places the organism in Eukaryota, Metazoa, Chordata, Actinopteri, Salmoniformes, Salmonidae.